This 253-nucleotide ribosomal RNA is filed under the name uncultured bacterium. Its description in RNAcentral is "partial 16S ribosomal RNA". It matches the Rfam family "Bacterial small subunit ribosomal RNA", at positions 524 to 776 of the family's 1533-position model. The record is from RNAcentral.
UACGAGGGGGGCGAGCGUUGUUCGGAAUUAUUGGGCGUAAAGGGUGCGUAGGCGGUUUGGUAAGUCUUAUGUGAAAUCCCCGGGCUUAACCUGGGAAUUGCAUUUGUGACUGCACGGCUAGAGUGUGUCAGAGGGGGGUAGAAUUCCACGUGUAGCAGUGAAAUGCGUAGAUAUGUGGAGGAAUACCGAUGGCGAAGGCAGCCCCCUGGGAUAACACUGACGCUCAUGCACGAAAGCGUGGGGAGCAAACAGG